UACGUAGGGGGCAAGCGUUAUCCGGAUUUACUGGGUGUAAAGGGGGCGCAGACGGCGAUGCAAGCCAGGAGUGAAAGCCCGGGGCCCAACCCCGGGACUGCACUUGGAACUGCGUGGCUGGAGUGCAGGAGGGGCAGGCGGAAUCCCUGGUGUAGCGGUGAAAUGCGUAGAUAUCAGGAGGAACACCGGUGGCGAAGGCGGCCUGCUGGACUGCAACUGACGUUGAGGCCCGAAAGCGUGGGGAGCAAACAGG
Molecule: ribosomal RNA, 253 nt
Filed under: uncultured bacterium
Lineage: Bacteria
Description: partial 16S ribosomal RNA
Rfam family: Bacterial small subunit ribosomal RNA
Source: RNAcentral